This 612-nucleotide ribosomal RNA is filed under the name uncultured bacterium. RNAcentral describes it as "bacterial SSU rRNA". It matches the Rfam family "Bacterial small subunit ribosomal RNA", at positions 338 to 950 of the family's 1533-position model. The record is from RNAcentral.
CCUACGGGAGGCAGCAGUAAGGAAUAUUGGUCAAUGGGCGCAAGCCUGAACCAGCCAUGCCGCGUGCAGGAAGACGGCCCUAUGGGUUGUAAACUGCUUUUGAACAAGAGAAAACCUCGGUACGUGUACCGAGCUGAUAGUAUUGUUAGAAUAAGCAUCGGCUAACUUCGUGCCAGCAGCCGCGGUAAGACGAAGGAUGCAAGCGUUAUCCGGAUUCAUUGGGUUUAAAGGGUGCGUAGGCGGCCUGAUAAGUCAGUGGUGAAAUCUCUCAGCUUAACUGAGAAACUGCCAUUGAUACUGUCGGGCUUGAGUACAGAUGAUGUGGGCGGAAUAUGACAUGUAGUGGUGAAAUACUUAGAUAUGUCAUAGAACACCGAUUGCGAAGGCAGCUCACAAAACUGUAACUGACGCUGAGGCACGAAAGUGCGGGGAUCAAACAGGAUUAGAUACCCUGGUAGUCCGCACCGUAAACGAUGAUUACUCGUUGUUGGCAAUAUGACCGUCAGCGACCAAGCGAAAGCGAUAAGUAAUCCACCUGGGGAGUACGCCGGCAACGUGAAACUUAAAUGAAUUGACGGCUUGGAGACGNGCGAGGACGACACGAGGGAGGAG